CUCAGAACGAACGCUGGCGGCGUGGAUAAGACAUGCAAGUCGAACGAUUAUCAUCGGGUAGCAAUAUUCGGUGGUGAGAGUGGCGCAAGGGUGCGUAACACGUGGGUAAUUUGCCAUGAAGUCUGGAAUAACUUGCUGAAAGGCGAGCUAAUACCGGAUGUGAUUUUUGGAAGGCAUCUUCUGAAACUCAAAGUCGGGGACCGUAAGGCCUGACGCUUCUUGAUAAGCCCGCGGCCUAUCAGCUAGUUGGUGAGGUAACGGCUCACCAAGGCUAAGACGGGUAGCUGGCCUGAGAGGACGACCAGCCUCACUGGAACUGAGACACGGUCCAGACACCUACGGGUGGCAGCAGUCGAGAAUUUUUCUCAAUGGGGAAACCCUGAAGGAGCGACGCCGCGUGGGGGAUGAAUGGCUUCGGCCCGUAAACCCCUGUCAUUUGCGAUCAAACCUUACGACCUAACACGUCGUAAGCUGAUAGUAGCGGAAGAGGAAGGGACGGCUAACUCUGUG
RNAcentral lists this ribosomal RNA (510 nucleotides) under uncultured bacterium. RNAcentral describes it as "bacterial SSU rRNA". It matches the Rfam family "Bacterial small subunit ribosomal RNA", at positions 23 to 507 of the family's 1533-position model. The record is from RNAcentral.